Molecule: ribosomal RNA, 406 nt
Filed under: uncultured bacterium
Lineage: Bacteria
Description: partial 16S ribosomal RNA
Rfam family: Bacterial small subunit ribosomal RNA
Source: RNAcentral
AUUGAACGCUGGCGGCAGGCCUAACACAUGCAAGUCGAACGAGUGGCGGACGGGUGAGUAAUGUCUGGGAAACUGCCUGAUGGAGGGGGAUAACUCCUGAAAACGGUAGCUAAUACCCCAUACCAUCAGCUGUGCCCAGAUGGGAUUAGCUAGUUGGUGGGGUAACGGCUCACCAAGGCGACGAUCGCUAGCUGGUCUGAGAGGAUGAACAGCCACCAUGGAACUGAGAACAGGGCCAGAAUCCUACGGGAGGCAGCAGUGGGGAAGAUUGCACAAGGGGCGCAAGCCUGAUGCAGCCAUGCCGCGGGUAUGAAGAAGGCCUUUGGGUUGUAAAGUACUUUCAGCGGGGAGGCGUUACCCGCAGAAGAAGCACCGGCUAAAUUCGUGCCAGCAGCCGCGGUAAUUC